This 174-nucleotide unclassified non-coding RNA is filed under the name Vishniacozyma dimennae. RNAcentral describes it as "partial internal transcribed spacer region". The stretch from base 1 to 46 matches the Rfam family "Eukaryotic small subunit ribosomal RNA", at positions 1786 to 1831 of the family's 1831-position model. The record is from RNAcentral. Lineage: Eukaryota; Fungi; Basidiomycota; Tremellomycetes; Tremellales; Bulleribasidiaceae.
AAGUCAUAACAAGGUUUCCGUAGGUGAACCUGCGGAAGGAUCAUUAUUGAAUUUGGCCUUCUGGCCUUAUACAUUAAUAUACACUGUGAACCGUGGCUUCGGCCCAAACUUGAAGUCUUGAAUGUAAUAUAUCAUAACAAAAUACAACUUUUAACAACGGAUCUCUUGGCUCUC